Molecule: long non-coding RNA, 511 nt
Organism: Cicer arietinum (chickpea)
Lineage: Eukaryota; Viridiplantae; Streptophyta; Magnoliopsida; Fabales; Fabaceae
Source: RefSeq, a predicted model, not a curated record
AACUCUUUGCCUGCAAUUUAUCUCUCUUAUGUUGUUCAACCACUUGAUAGUUUGGCUUCUAUUGCCGCUAGGUAUUUCACUACUCUCACUGAUUUGAUGAAUGUUAAUGCUAUGGGAACUACUGCUAUUUCUGAUGGUGAUAUCAUUGCUAUUCCUAUUCCGGCUUGCUCUUCAAAUUUUCCGAAAUAUGCUUCUGAUUUUGGCUUGCUUGUACCUAAUGGAAGUUAUGCAAUUACAGCAGGACAUUGUGUGCUAGCUGUGGACCCCGAAACUUAAAUUUGUACUGUAUGCCGGCUUCUCUAGCUGUUUCAUGCUCAAGCAUGCAUUGUAAAAACAGCAAUCUUAUGCUUGGGAAUGUUACCGUGCAACAGACUGGUGGUGGUUGCAAUGUGACUUCUUGAAGUUAUGAUGGUAUUGUUAAUGGCACCAUAGCAACAACGUUGAACCCAUCUCUUCAGCCUCGAUGUCCAGGUUAGUGUGCUGCAGCCAUAUAUAUAUAUAUAUAUAUAUA